RNAcentral lists this transfer RNA (75 nucleotides) under Candidatus Yanofskybacteria bacterium RIFCSPHIGHO2_01_FULL_39_8b. Its description in RNAcentral is "tRNA-Val". It matches the Rfam family "tRNA". Rfam says of the family: Transfer RNA (tRNA) molecules are approximately 80 nucleotides in length. The record is from RNAcentral. Lineage: Bacteria; Candidatus Yanofskyibacteriota.
GGGCUCGUAGUUCAGUGGCAGAACGCGCCGUUCACAUCGGCGAGGCCAGAGGUUCAAUCCCUCUCGAGCCCACCA